This 440-nucleotide ribosomal RNA is filed under the name uncultured bacterium. RNAcentral describes it as "partial 16S ribosomal RNA". It matches the Rfam family "Bacterial small subunit ribosomal RNA", at positions 338 to 795 of the family's 1533-position model. The record is from RNAcentral.
CCUACGGGUGGCAGCAGUGGGGAAUAUUGCACAAUGGGGGAAACCCUGAUGCAGCGACGCCGCGUGAGCGAUGAAGUAUUUCGGUAUGUAAAGCUCUAUCAGCAGGGAAGAAAAUGACGGUACCUGACUAAGAAGCCCCGGCUAACUACGUGCCAGCAGCCGCGGUAAUACGUAGGGGGCAAGCGUUAUCCGGAUUUACUGGGUGUAAAGGGAGCGUAGACGGCUUGGCAAGCCAGAUGUGAAAGGCUGGGGCUCAACCUCAGGACUGCAUUUGGAACUGUCAUGCUAGAGUGUCGGAGAGGCAGGUGGAAUUCCUAGUGUAGCGGUGAAAUGCGUAGAUAUUAGGAGGAACACCAGUGGCGAAGGCGGCCUGCUGGACGAUGACUGACGUUGAGGCUCGAAAGCGUGGGGAGCAAACAGGAUUAGAUACCCGGGUAGUC